Molecule: ribosomal RNA, 397 nt
Filed under: uncultured bacterium
Lineage: Bacteria
Description: partial 16S ribosomal RNA
Rfam family: Bacterial small subunit ribosomal RNA
Source: RNAcentral
AUACGUAGGGGGCGAGCGUUGUCCGGAAUGAUUGGGCGUAAAGGGCGCGUAGGCGGCCCGGUAAGUCUGGAGUGAAAGUCCUGUUUUUAAGAUGGGAAUUGCUUUGGAUACUGUCGGGCUUGAGUGCAGGAGAGGUAAGUGGAAUUCCAAGUGUAGCGGAGAAAUGCGUAGAGAUUGGGAGGAACACCAGUGGCGAAGGCGACUUACUGGACUGUAACUGACGCUGAGGCGCGAAAGUGUGGGGAGCAAACAGGAUUAGAUACCCUGGUAGUCCACACUGUAAACGAUGAAUGCUAGGUGUAGGGGGUAUCGACCCCUUCUGUGCCGCAGUCAACACAAUAAGCAUUCCGCCUGGGGAGUACGGCCGCUAGGUUGAAACUCAAAUGAAUUGACGGGG